AGUGGCGAACGGGUGAGUAACACGUGGGCAAUCUGCCCUUCACUCUGGGACAAGCCCUGGAAACGGGGUCUAAUACCGGAUAACACUCUGUCCCGCAUGGGACGGGGUUGAAAGCUCCGGCGGUGAAGGAUGAGCCCGCGGCCUAUCAGCUUGUUGGUGGGGUAAUGGCCUACCAAGGCGACGACGGGUAGCCGGCCUGAGAGGGCGACCGGCCACACUGGGACUGAGACACGGCCCAGACUCCUACGGGAGGCAGCAGUGGGGAAUAUUGCACAAUGGGCGAAAGCCUGAUGCAGCGACGCCGCGUGAGGGAUGACGGCCUUCGGGUUGUAAACCUCUUUCAGCAGGGAAGAAGCGAAAGUGACGGUACCUGCAGAAGAAGCGCCGGCUAACUACGUGCCAGCAGCCGCGGUAAUACGUAGGGCGCAAGCGUUGUCCGGAAUUAUUGGGCGUAAAGAGCUCGUAGGCGGCUUGUCACGUCGGAUGUGAAAGCCCGGGGCUUAACCCCGGGUCUGCAUUCGAUACGGGCUAGCUAGAGUGUGGUAGGGGAGAUCGGAAUUCCUGGUGUAGCGGUGAAAUGCGCAGAUAUCAGGAGGAACACCGGUGGCGAAGGCGGAUCUCUGGGCCAUUACUGACGCUGAGGAGCGAAAGCGUGGGGAGCGAACAGGAUUAGAUACCCUGGUAGUCCACGCCGUAAACGUUGGGAACUAGGUGUUGGCGACAUUCCACGUCGUCGGUGCCGCAGCUAACGCAUUAAGUUCCCCGCCUGGGGAGUACGGCCGCAAGGCU
RNAcentral lists this ribosomal RNA (789 nucleotides) under Streptomyces sp. RNAcentral describes it as "bacterial SSU rRNA". It matches the Rfam family "Bacterial small subunit ribosomal RNA", at positions 94 to 895 of the family's 1533-position model. The record is from RNAcentral. Lineage: Bacteria; Bacillati; Actinomycetota; Actinomycetes; Kitasatosporales; Streptomycetaceae.